UAUAUAUAUAUAUAUAUAUAUAUAUAUAUAUAUAUAUAUAUAUAUAUAUAUAUAUUCUCUCUUGCAGUACCAGACAGUGAGCCGACCAAUCCAACAGAUCCGCCGACAGAGGCACCAGUCCCCCCGACCGACACCCCUUACGGAGGAGGUGGGCUUAGUGGCGGCGCAAUAUUCGGCAUUGUUAUAGCUGUCAUGUUCGUCUUCGCUGCGGUUGGGUUCGUAGGAGUUUCGUUCAUCAAAAGGAAAAGCGGCACCUCCGGAGGAUUUAGUCCUAGUCAACGAGGUGCUGCAGUCGUUAACCUCUCCCCCAUCACGAGGAGAAGGGGUCAGCUGUGGCGUACUUCAACCCCACCGAUGCAACCGACGCUUAAGAUUAACCUACGAUCAAUUCUGGGGUUUUAUUAACUAUUUCCACGAAUAGUCGCUGUUCAUUGUGUUGGUCAGUCAUCAAUGACUUUGGAAUUUAGUCUUUGAUCUCAGUGACUUAAAUAUAUAUAUAUAUAUAUAUAUAUAUAUAUAUAUAUAUAUAUAUAUAUAUAUAUAUAUAUAUAUAUAUA
Long non-coding RNA from Macrobrachium nipponense, 557 nucleotides. RefSeq lists it as uncharacterized. Lineage: Eukaryota; Metazoa; Arthropoda; Malacostraca; Decapoda; Palaemonidae. The record is from RefSeq and is a predicted model, not a curated record. The transcript has 3 exons.